RNAcentral lists this long non-coding RNA (1597 nucleotides) under Centruroides sculpturatus (bark scorpion). RNAcentral's name for it is "uncharacterized LOC111632994, transcript variant X1". Lineage: Eukaryota; Metazoa; Arthropoda; Arachnida; Scorpiones; Buthidae. The record is from RNAcentral.
UUUAAAUUUUAAUUAUAUAAAUUUAAUAGAAAACGUAUUUUAUACGACAUUAUUUAUUUCUUUAUUAAUUUUAUACCAUUUAGUGUACUUGGACCCUUUCUCCUCUUUGUUAUCCUUCACUAUCUUGACCCACGAGUAGGCUCAUUUAUUUUUUUAAAUAAAGGAUUUAUAAAUUUAUAACUUAUAAAUAUUACUUUUAUAAAAAUAAAUAAUUUUGCCUUAAAUAUCAGGGGUGUGAACUAAUUUGAUGUGGGUCAAGAACUUUUUAUUUUAUUCAGACGUCAAGGCUGAUGUGUAAUUCACUUUAUGACAUAGUUCUCAUACGAUACCCAUUUACAUAAUGGUUUUGUAUAUUUCUAAAACAUAUAAAUACGUAAGAGAGUGUUGCUUUCGUAGUAGAAAGUAUUACGCAAACAACUAAAAAAAUAACAAAUAAAUUUAAAACAAAACGUCAUAAAUUUAUAAACAAUUAAAAGUGAGGUAAUUGAGAAAUCAUUUGAUAUUUUUUUCAGUUUCCAUAUAAUGUAUAGGCCCAUAGGAUUUUCUAGUUAUUUAUUGAAAGUUCAACGAAUUUAAAGGGGUGAUAACACGUUUAAAUCCCUUUAGACACGCGAAGAAAACUCGUAGCCACGUAGCCAGUCCGUUGGCGAGGUACGAACCCACGACUAAUGUUAUAAAUAAAGUAGCUUUUUUUUAAUCACAUAAUUAAGAGUAAAUUUUAAGACCUCUUCUGUGUCUAGGGAUGAAAUCAAGUGACCUGUUGACCCUCCAAUCAAGGCCUACUUACAGGGAGGAAAUUAACUUAAAAAACAAUGCUUAAAACACAUAAAUUAUUCGUCACUACAAUUUAAAAAAUUGGCUGACAAGUGGCUAGCAGGUGUAAAUACCUAUUUAAGAUAGGGAAACAGGUGUCGAUAAAUCAGUGUUGUAGAAUUUUAACUGAAGAGCAGCAGCAUUUAAAAUGAACAAUUUCGUGUUAAUUGCCAUCGUUUCUUGCGUAAUCAAUGCUACGAUUGGAAUUUCAUCAUCAGACAAGGAGAAAAACAUUCUUCAAAUGUUUAAAUCUGUAAAGGAUGGGUUAAAGGUCAUUCCAUCUCGUGAAGAAAAAGAUAGUGUUGAAAAUGGAAACAAGCCAGUUUAUGGUGGCCAUCAUCAUUACUGGGGACAUCAUCAUCAUUAUCAUCAUCAUAAGCGAAAUCAGGACUAAAUUAUAAUUAAAUGAAAGGAAAUUAAUGAUGUUAUCUUGAUUUAUUUGCACGAUAUAUUCUUGAAAUUUAACCACAUCCUAAUUAAAAUAUGUUUAUUAAUAAAUAUAAUAUGUAUGGAAACAAAAAUAAAAUACAAGUUCUGUUAUUUACUUUGUCUUUUCUUUUAUAUUACGCAGUAAAAGGGGGCGAAUUCGAACAUUUCACACAAGAUAAUGUACACUUUGCCAUUAUUUGCUUGAAAAUAGCUUUUCUCCUAUUGUUCCAGUUUUGUACUAUUAUUAUUUUUAAAUAAGCCCUAAUAAAAGUAUUUUCCUAAUAAAUAGUUUUAACACGUAAAUACGCACAGGGAAAUAUAAUAAAAUUUUAAUUUAUAGUCUACAUAUAAUUAA